GAUGAAGAACGCAGCGAAGUGCGAUAAGUAAUGUGAAUUGCAGAAUUCCACGAAUCAUCGAAUUUUUGAACGCAAAUUGCACUUUUUGGUAUCCCGAAAAGUAUGCCUGUUUGAGGGUCAGCAUAAUAAAAAUCGGUAUGUUGCUUUUUUUGUGACGUUCCGGAGUUUGGGUUUAUCUUGAACAAAAUUUAGUUUAAGAGACUUAAAAUUAACAAUCUUUUUGCGCAUUUUUAGAUGUACAUAGAUUUUUUUAUUUCGUCUAUAUAUAUAUUAUCAUGCCAAAAUUUUAUUAGAUGCGACCAUAUCGAGUGGUUUUGUGCCUAUAAAUUUAUCAUAAUUUGACCUCAAAUCAGGUAAGAAUACCCGCUGAACUUAAGCAUAUCAAUAAGCGGAGGA
Molecule: unclassified non-coding RNA, 396 nt
Filed under: soil metagenome
Description: partial contains 5.8S ribosomal RNA, internal transcribed spacer 2, and large subunit ribosomal RNA
Rfam family: 5.8S ribosomal RNA (bases 1-120)
Source: RNAcentral